GAAAUGCGAAAAGUAAUGUGAAUUGCAGAAUUCAGUGAAUCAUCGAAUCUUUGAACGCACAUUGCGCCCGCCAGCAUUCUGGCGGGCAUGCCUGUCCGAGCGUCAUUUCAACCAUCAAGCCCCCGGGCUUGUGUUGGGGACCUGCGGCUGCCCGCAGGCCCUGAAAACCAGUGGCGGGCUCGCUGUCACACCGAGCGUAGUAGCAAUCACCUCGCUCAGGGCGUGCUGCGGGUUCCGGCCGUUAAACAGCCUUACAAAACCCAAGGUUGACCUCGGAUCAGGUAGGAAGACCCGCUGAACUUAAGC
Molecule: unclassified non-coding RNA, 306 nt
Filed under: plant metagenome
Description: partial contains 5.8S ribosomal RNA, internal transcribed spacer 2, and large subunit ribosomal RNA
Rfam family: 5.8S ribosomal RNA (bases 1-105)
Source: RNAcentral